GUUCAAAUUGAUAGCCUAUAUAAUGCCGUGAUAUGGUCGGCAGUUUCUACCCAGAACCUUAAAUUCUGGACUAUAAGCACUUAGAC
This 86-nucleotide non-coding RNA is filed under the name uncultured Limosilactobacillus sp. RNAcentral's name for it is "Purine riboswitch". The stretch from base 14 to 78 matches the Rfam family "Purine riboswitch aptamer", at positions 19 to 87 of the family's 102-position model. From Rfam's summary of the family: Riboswitches are metabolite binding domains within certain messenger RNAs that serve as precision sensors for their corresponding targets. Allosteric rearrangement of mRNA structure is mediated by ligand binding, and this results in modulation of gene expression. A class of riboswitches that selectively recognises guanine and becomes saturated at concentrations as low as 5 nM. Lineage: Bacteria; Bacillati; Bacillota; Bacilli; Lactobacillales; Lactobacillaceae. The record is from RNAcentral.